AACGAACGCUGGCGGCAUGCCUAACACAUGCAAGUCGAACGAGACCUUCGGGUCUAGUGGCGCACGGGUGCGUAACGCGUGGGAAUCUGCCCUUGGGUUCGGAAUAACAGCGAGAAAUUGCUGCUAAUACCGGAUGAUGACGUAAGUCCAAAGAUUUAUCGCCCAAGGAUGAGCCCGCGUAGGAUUAGCUAGUUGGUGAGGUAAAGGCUCACCAAGGCGACGAUCCUUAGCUGGUCUGAGAGGAUGAUCAGCCACACUGGGACUGAGACACGGCCCAGACUCCUACGGGAGGCAGCAGUGGGGAAUAUUGGACAAUGGGCGAAAGCCUGAUCAGCAAUGCCGCGUGAGUGAUGAAGGCCUUAGGGUUGUAAAGCUCUUUACCCGGGAUGAUAAUGACAGUACCGGGAGAAUAAGCUCCGGCUAAACUCCCGUGGCCAGCAGCCGCGGUAA
This 450-nucleotide ribosomal RNA is filed under the name uncultured bacterium. RNAcentral describes it as "bacterial SSU rRNA". It matches the Rfam family "Bacterial small subunit ribosomal RNA", at positions 29 to 523 of the family's 1533-position model. The record is from RNAcentral.